Molecule: ribosomal RNA, 732 nt
Filed under: Pseudomonas sp. 120426_NH_C_C4
Lineage: Bacteria; Pseudomonadati; Pseudomonadota; Gammaproteobacteria; Pseudomonadales; Pseudomonadaceae
Description: bacterial SSU rRNA
Rfam family: Bacterial small subunit ribosomal RNA
Source: RNAcentral
UGGCUCAGAUUGAACGCUGGCGGCAGGCCUAACACAUGCAAGUCGAGCGGAUGAAGGGAGCUUGCUCCCUGAUUCAGCGGCGGACGGGUGAGUAAUGCCUAGGAAUCUGCCUGGUAGUGGGGGACAACGUUUCGAAAGGAACGCUAAUACCGCAUACGUCCUACGGGAGAAAGCAGGGGACCUUCGGGCCUUGCGCUAUCAGAUGAGCCUAGGUCGGAUUAGCUAGUUGGUGAGGUAAUGGCUCACCAAGGCGACGAUCCGUAACUGGUCUGAGAGGAUGAUCAGUCACACUGGAACUGAGACACGGUCCAGACUCCUACGGGAGGCAGCAGUGGGGAAUAUUGGACAAUGGGCGAAAGCCUGAUCCAGCCAUGCCGCGUGUGUGAAGAAGGUCUUCGGAUUGUAAAGCACUUUAAGUUGGGAGGAAGGGUUGCUGAUUAAUACUCUGCAAUUUUGACGUUACCGACAGAAUAAGCACCGGCUAACUCUGUGCCAGCAGCCGCGGUAAUACAGAGGGUGCAAGCGUUAAUCGGAAUUACUGGGCGUAAAGCGCGCGUAGGUGGUUUGUUAAGUUGGAUGUGAAAGCCCCGGGCUCAACCUGGGAACUGCAUCCAAAACUGGCAAGCUAGAGUAGGGCAGAGGGUGGUGGAAUUUCCUGUGUAGCGGUGAAAUGCGUAGAUAUAGGAAGGAACACCAGUGGCGAAGGCGACCACCUGGGCUCAUACUGACACU